GGUGUGCCAUUUCCCCUCCCCGCUCCGCCGGCCAUCAGCGCUCUCCCGCCAGCCCGAACCCCUCGCGGCUCGACCCGCCGCCCGCGGACGCCUUUCCAAAGCCCUGAGGAAAGGAAAAAGCGGCGUUUCCAGCGGGCAGGUCGUUCCGGACAAGGGCUGGCGGCGGCUCUCGCUCGGCAUUUCGCCAUCGUAACCCACCCCCUGCAACAAGUGACGACCUCUGCCCGCCCCGGGCAGCGCGGCCCGGCGCCGGAGGGAGCCGUUAUGUAACGGGCGGGACGCCGGCACCGCGCAUCCCCCCGGGCCGCACGGCUGAGGCCCGACCCUCGGGCUCGGAGGGUCUCUGGGGCGAGGAACGGGGCAGCCCGGCGCAGAUCUUUUCAGCAAAAAAGCGCCUGUGUUGUUCCUGCCUCACCCAACACUGGCGGCAGACAGCAAGGCCACCAGCAGCACGCCCAGCACGGCGCUGGUGCCAGGACGCACAAACCCUGGUCGCCUGCUGGGCUCUGACCCACCCCAGCAAGGACCGCGCUGCCAGCGCCUUCCUGCAACAAGCGCCGGGAAACAAAUACAGGCGUUCUUGCUAUGCUUUCCUAGCUCUAAAACUAGAAUCCAGCGGAAAUGUGUCUGCUUUAAACACAAACACCGCUUAGAGCAGCGUCAUGCCUCGCCGAGUUAAUGCGUGCAAAGGGGGGGGUCCUUGGGGCUCACCCCCAGGUACACAUGUGGCAGAGAAUGACUGUCCUGAGCCCAAACGGAGGAACAGCAGCACUCCCAGUUUAGACAAAUACUCUGCAUCGUGAGAAACCUUUUUCAGUGUAAUUUUACUGACUUUUAUCAAGGCAAAAGUCUAUUCUGUUUGGAAAAAUUCACAAGUACUAUCUAAAUCACGAAGUUUCAUAGGAAUAAUUAAGUUGCAUGGAACCUGUCCUGUAACAGAGUAGUUACUUGUUCUCCGGUCAAAAAUUUCAAUUAGAAAAUGCUUCAAUGGAAGAAAAAAUACCCUACCAUGAUCAGAGUUUUGACAACUAAAAUGCAACCAACUUAUUUUAUAAUUAGAUAUGACUACUCAUGCUUUGUACCUAUUAGCCAUUUCACUCCCACAGUGAAAUAAAAAUAAAGUCCAGAAUGUUCAAGAUCC
This is a non-coding RNA of Phalacrocorax carbo (great cormorant), 1141 nucleotides long. The record is from RefSeq and is a predicted model, not a curated record. Lineage: Eukaryota; Metazoa; Chordata; Aves; Suliformes; Phalacrocoracidae.